RNAcentral lists this ribosomal RNA (451 nucleotides) under uncultured soil bacterium. RNAcentral describes it as "bacterial SSU rRNA". It matches the Rfam family "Bacterial small subunit ribosomal RNA", at positions 951 to 1384 of the family's 1533-position model. The record is from RNAcentral.
UAGUGAUUAACGCGAAGAACCUUACCCAGGCUUGAACUGCAGAUGACAUCCUACGAAAGUAGGCUUCCGCAAGGACGUCUGUAGAGGUGCUGCAUGGCUGUCGUCAGCUCGUGUCGUGAGAUGUUGGGUUAAGUCCCGCUACGAGCGCAACCCUUGUCUUCUGUUGCCAUCAGGUUAUGCUGGGCACUCUGAAGAGACUGCCGGUGACAAACCGGAGGAAGGUGGGGAUGACGUCAAGUCAGCAUGGCCUUUAUGUCCAGGGCUACACACGUGCUACAAUGGCCGGUACAAAGCGUCGCCAACCCGCGAGGGUGCGCCAAUCGCCAAAAGCCGGUCUAAGUUCGGAUUGUAGUCUGCAACUCGACUGCAUGAAGCCGGAAUCGCUAGUAAUCGUGGAUCAGCCAUGCCACGGUGAAUACGUUCCCGGGCCUUGUCACACCGAAUCGAAUUC